GUCUGUACUUGGAUGUUACUUCAUGAUCUGCAGAAAAUCUCUACAAAUAUGAGAGGUUUCUUAUUAAUAAUGUUUUAAACAAGUUUCCUAUAGACCUACAUGGUAAUUGUAGAAUGCGUGAAUUUAAAAAUCUGCUGAAAAAACAAUAUUCACACAUUUGGUUAUGUUACAACCACAAACCUCAGAGUAUUUUACAGGGAUAUUAUUUGAUGGAUAGACAAACUAGAACAUGAUUGUGAAGUCUUAAAACAAAUGUGUUGUUUUUUGACACAUUUUCUGUGUUAUCAUCAAGCAAACACAUCUUGUGUGUUUUCUACACAUCAUGUGUUGUUCUAGUUAAACAACUGGACACACACUAUGUGUUAAACCAUCGACCAAUCACAUCACUUCUUGGACAUCUUCAGUUCUGGAACUUUCCACAAGAUAAAAAAAAAAAAAGUCAGCUGAAGCAAACGCCAGUAAUGCUACUGCAGGUCGUCCUGAAAGUUACCCAUCCAGUGAUGACAAGUUGUGACUUGCCAAAAAUAUUGUCUCCAUUUCCCUAAACUAUGCGUCAAAAUCCAGGACCACAGUGAAGGAUAUGAACACUUCUAUGAUCCAGAUUCACACAAUGGUUUCAUUGAAAUGAAACUAUGAAACCUUAGGAGAGAUAUUGAGGAAAGCCAGACAAGAUACAGGUGAAAGACCAAGUCAGGAGGCAUUGUAACUCUUGUCAUGACAAACACGGAUGAGGACUUAAGUGAGUGGGUGACUCUGGCAAAAAGGAUGAAGCCCUCAUCUGAAAAUCUAACAACAAUCAAGCAGGGACCCAGACUUUCACUCAAAGGAGAAGACGGAUUACAACACAAUCUCCAACCCUGACUGAGAUAUUUCAACAAUAUCCACGGUUCAUUGACAUGCCAUGUCUGUUUGAUGCAGACUUUGGAAAACUCUUUGAAGGAAAGGCUGACAAUUUUCUUUGCAAAUGGGAGACGAACAUCAUCCCCAAGCUAAUGAAGAUCGCCUCCAGCAAGAUGUCUGAGGAUCUUCUGUCAACUUCUUCCUUCUCUGGAAACACCAAUGAUGGUGGCUUCACAGUUGUGUCUCCACUCCAAUCUGAUGUCCAAGUGAACACCAAGGACUUAUACUCCUCCACUAAGAGUCUAUCUUGUACUGGAAGACUGAUGUGUACAGAGUGAAAUGAAUGGUGCUCCUGUGCUGCUAUCUACCAGCAGAACUGGGAUCUUGAUGCACUGAAAGAGGGGGCUCAGGGACUGCAACGUGUCUGAGUCUGCUAAGGGAGAGGAGCAGUUAGGCGAGGCCAAAAGGAGAACUGAGCAAACUUGGAUAAAACCAAAACAUGGGGCUGGGGAUAAAAAUCCAAACCCAACAACCUUACAUUCUGUGCCUGGGACAUCCAAGUGGAGCAACACAUCAGUAUGUCAUCGUGGCAAAAACUGACAAGAUUGCCAUUCCACUUAAAGAUGAAGGCCUGACCUGCUCUCUUGACAAGCUGUUUAAGAUGUAUUGGGUCUGCAACCUUGCCUACCCUGCCAACUGCUUUCUGUCUUCUCUUCCCUUGAGCACAUUUAUGAGAUGCCGAUAUCUGUGGUCGCCACAGCAGAUCAUCUACCUCCAUCUCAGCCCAUCCUUUGCCUCUUGAACUGUUACACCAACUAUCUCCAUGUCCUCCUUCACCAUGACCAAGCCGGCAGCUUCAUCUCCAGCAUCUUCUUUCUAAUCCAGACCAUCCUCUAAGACAAAAGACAGGAACAUCGGGACCGCAUGGGCCUAGAGAUCCAAACCAGGUUGAAGUUAGAAGCAGACCAUGAGACCUACUCCUUGAGGCUUCUGGGAUUCUGACGAACUCUUAAUAAAUCUUGUGAAAUGUCAAAUUUUCUAACCAGAUCAGAGUUUAUUUGCUGGCUCAGCAGCUAUUCUCAGUCUGUAGUAAAUCAUAACUAGUGCUGCUCAUUUGUUUUGUGUUAAUUAGUGGUGAAUAAGUCUUUUUAAGUUUUUUGAUUCCAUUAAUACAUUUUUAUUGUGGAUUUUUUUAAGCACUGUAUACUAAUGAAAUCAGUCCUCCUCAUGCACCUCCGCUGUGCAUCUCUGUGUUUGGGUCUCAACACCAGCAUGACUCCGGAUUCUUCUUUCAAUACAUCUGAAGUAUUGGGCUCAGUGGGAACUGAAUUGAUUCAUUUUUCAGAUGAGGUUGUUUCCUGUCUUACUAUGAUUACUAUUUAAAUACUAUUUAAAUCAUUUACUAUUACUUAAUAUCAGUACUUAGUGUGUCCAAAUGUUAGAAAUAAGCAGGUGCAGCUUUAGAUGGUUUGAUUAUAAGCUAUGAACAAAAUAUUAUGAACUGAAUAUUAAAACUGGCCGACUCCUGACCUUCUAAUAAAUCCCAUGCUUUCUGUUUCCUGUUAGGUUAGAGAUGUUGCUGGGUCGAAUAAUUUGCAGACUAGCUUGUGUGAGAUCUCGUACUUUGACCAAAUCCCCCUCUGAAGUAGAACCUAAUUGGUUGGUGCUGGAGCCUAGGAUGUGAUCAGGUCCGUGAGUGCAGGUUUCUACAGGUUCUAGCUUGAGUAUUCUUUGUUAAUAACUCCUACUGUCCAGUGAGAGAUCUACUGAUUUGUGAUGUGUCCAUCUUCAUUGGGUUAAACCGUAAACAGUAAUACAGUUGAUCGCUUCUCUGAAAAGCUUUAAUCCUGUCCAUGUUGGCCCGGAGCACUUUAAUUUAGCAAAGCUUUUUGACACGCAAACUCAAUGCAGAAGGACCCCAGGCUGGGAUUUGAACCCAGGACUGUUUUGCUGCAAAGCAACAAGCGCUGUAGAAGAAGAAUGUUUUCUUAGUUUAAUUCGCAGCUUUAUAAUUUCAUUUAGACUCGAAGGAAAUUUGAAUGAAAACAGUUUUCUCAGAUUUUAAUGUAACAACACCACAAUGAAAGACACUCCUGCUUCUUCCUGAUGACCUUUGACUCUACAGGCACAAACUGACAAAUACUUUAGCUAGCACCAAUGAGUUAAUUCUCCACUGGCAGUGAUUAUUUCUGUUUUUUAUUACAGUGACCUGAAGUCGUGUGCUUUGUGUUUGGUUUGGCGAGCACCCAUCCUUAUAUUCCCGUCUGUGAAUCUGUUACAGAACAUUUUACUGCUUGUAUUUUGACUCCCUUCUACUACGACCCUCGGGAUGAUAAAAAAAAAAAAAAAAAGCAUUGCAUGGCAUUGGCUUGCAUGGAAAUCACUUUAUUUGCUUUGUCUUUAAAUUGACAUUCACACACAAAACUGAAUUAAAAUCAACAGGAGAUUCAACUGAAGAAACAAAUCAGAGAAACACAGACCUGUGUGAGACGGCUGAUGUCGAUAAGAAAUCAGCAAAAAAUACAACUGUAACAGUGUUGGUCAUAUCACAAAGCUAAUAUAGUUGGUCAUCACCUUUGACAUUACUCGGAGAUUUAAAAAACAUAACGAAAUAAUCAAAACUGAAGAAAAGAUUUUAAAAAUUUGUAGACAUUUAAAUGAACAUGUUUAGUUUUGUGUUCCUGACUGUUGAAGUGAGGUUGACCAUCAUGGUCUCAGGCCUUCAGGAAGAAGAUUGUAGCAGUUUAUGAGUUUGGUAAAAGGUUUAAAGAGCAAUUCUACUUUACACAAAAUAGUCUACAAGUAGAGGACAACUCCCAGCAUGCCGAGGUCUGGUUGUCAAAGCAGGUUUACCCUGAAAAAAGCCAAAAUAAGUCUCCAAAAACCCUAAAAUAGGACCUACAACAGGCUCUUGCUACUGCUGAUCAGAUAUAAAAAAUUAGACAUCAAUAAUAAUAAUUCCUAAUAAAGAGCUAAAUAUCUGAUGGAGUGACUGUACUCAUUAAACUAAUAACCUAGAUUAAACCUGGUGGUAAAACAUAGUGAGAUUUUUGUUUUUAUCACCGUCUUCCACUGUGAAAUAAGGAGAACUACCAGUCAUUAUGUUACCAUGAUGAAAAUAUGUUGCUUAUUUAAAAUGAAUACUUUGCUUCUCCAUAUUGUACAGUUAAAUUGUGUUGUAGUAUUUUGUGUAGCUAACAAGUGAAAUUACCAAUUUGAAUAUUAUGUCACAUUGACUUUUGAUCUCAGCUUUAUUUAAGACCUUUCAACACACAUCGUUGUUUGAAGCUUACUAGGUGAUGGAUAUAAUCUGAUUGCAUAAAACAUAUAAAAUCUAGUGUCACAUAAGGUCCAACGUCUGACUGGAUGAAUGCCGUUUCUGCUUCUUUAAACAAAAUACAAUUUAAGCUUCUGGGAAAUGUUUUUUUUACCCUGUUUUUUUAAACAGUUUUUGAAACAGCGUCCAACGUUUCACUAUUAAAAGUCUGUUUUGAUGUCUUUGUGGCAUAGGUUUUUCAAUGCUGCAGGAGCAGAACUGAACCAUGGUAGGAACUGGGAAUGUUUGAGAAGAAUCACAACGUGCUUUUCCCAUUUUUAUCCUCAGUUAAACAUCGGAACUAUUAAGAAUUUUAAGGAAACACUUGUGGUACUUAUCAGUAGGUAGAGUUGUUGUCUUGUAAUCGGAAGGUUGUGAGUUCGAUUCCACCAUCCUCUUAUCACAUAUUGAUGUGCCUCUGGUAUGAGUGAGUGCCAUUGGGUGUGAAAGUGGGUCUGGUGUAAAGCAACUUGAGUGCUUUACACCAAAACUUUAUAUAAAGUCCAUUUAUAAACCUUCUAUCAGGGCUGCAAAGCUACUCCUGGAUUACCUUUACUGGUACGUCAUCAUUUAGCAGCUUGUGAUUUAAGUUUCAUUAAAGUAAUGAUAAUGGUUUCCCAUUUUAUCAGGAAAUGUUGAAUGUUUUCUGAUUUAUUAUUACUGUUUUAUUACUGACUACUGACAGACUAUUUAAACAUCGCAGUGUUUUUACGUUGGCAUACAUCAUUAUGACUAACUCAUUGUACUCAGUGUUACCAGGUAUUACAAAUAUUACUCCACUCAGCUGUAAUAUGGUGCAACAAAAUCCAUUGAAUUUUUCAUAUAAAAAAUGAUUUAUUUUUCUUUAUUGUUUCAUUUUACAUGUUUGUGUUAAAAAAACAGCAUGAAGACACAGACUGUGUUAGUAUUGAUCUUUGAAUUCCUUAUAUAAGCUCGGUGUAUAUAUAACGGUCUCUGUGGACAUGGCUGACAGAUAGAUUUCCACUUCAAAUGAUGAAACACACAUAUUUACAUACACAAUAAUUAUUUUUCAUCAGAGCAGGAUCAAUGAAUCAUAGAUGUCCUCGGCUAGAUCUUCAGGAUCGGAAUGAAUCCAACAAGUGGGCCAAGAAACCAUCAGGCUACCCUGGUAGCAGAAAUGCAGAAACACAAAAAACAGAUUGAUGCACAGCAGCAGUAUCUCCUCUAAGGGCAUUGCUGAUGUCUUUCCGCCCUGGCAUUGUGUUAACACAAGCCUGUAUUCUCCUGAGCUACAGAGAUGUUCAGAGUGAUGAAGAUUGGGUUGAUUUGAUCAGCAGGACCAGGCUGCUACUUUCCCUCCUCCAUCCUAUGGAAGCAGCAACGUCUGGUUAGUUUUUUACAGGUUUUUUAUGUUGUCCAAGUUUUUUAUUCGAGAAAUCUUUAUCUUACAUUACCAGUCAGGUUUGGACACCUUUAAUCAGAAAGUGUAUCUAAACUUUUGACUGGUAGUGUAUGUCGAAGCGUAAUCAUCAUAAUGGGAGUGAUUAUUUCAUUGCGAUAGAUUCCAUUUCCACACAUCAAGGCACCUACGUUUCAGACAACUUGUCAGAACAAUUCGUUUGCUAACAUGGUGCUCUGUUUUUUAGCAAAUGUUCUGACACGCAUAGAUUCCCAGAUGUGUUACCAUAUAUAUAACCUC
This is a long non-coding RNA of Girardinichthys multiradiatus, 5816 nucleotides long. RefSeq lists it as uncharacterized. The record is from RefSeq and is a predicted model, not a curated record. Lineage: Eukaryota; Metazoa; Chordata; Actinopteri; Cyprinodontiformes; Goodeidae. The transcript is spliced from 9 exons.